This 117-nucleotide small nuclear RNA is filed under the name Chelydra serpentina (North American snapping turtle). RNAcentral describes it as "U5 spliceosomal RNA (ENSCSRG00000002701.1)". It matches the Rfam family "U5 spliceosomal RNA". From Rfam's summary of the family: U5 RNA is a component of both types of known spliceosome. The precise function of this molecule is unknown, though it is known that the 5' loop is required for splice site selection and p220 binding, and that both the 3' stem-loop and the Sm site are important for Sm protein binding and cap methylation. Lineage: Eukaryota; Metazoa; Chordata; Testudines; Chelydridae. The record is from Rfam by way of RNAcentral.
GCACUUCGGUUUCUCUUCAGAUCGUAUAAAUCUUUCGCCUUUUACUAAAGAUUUCCGUGGAGAGGAACAGUUACGAGUUUCAGCCGUGAAACAUUUCUUUUCCCUAAAAACUGUGAG